RNAcentral lists this ribosomal RNA (354 nucleotides) under uncultured bacterium. Its description in RNAcentral is "bacterial SSU rRNA". It matches the Rfam family "Bacterial small subunit ribosomal RNA", at positions 29 to 366 of the family's 1533-position model. The record is from RNAcentral.
AACGAACGCUGGCGGCGUGCCUAACACAUGCAAGUCGUGCGAGAAAGUUCCUUCGGGAGCGAGUAAAGCGGCGCACGGGUGAGUAACACGUAGGUAACCUGCCCCCCAGUCUGGAACAACUAGAGGAAACUCUAGCUAAUGCCGGAUGAGACCACGAUCCCCUUCGGGGGUUGCGGCCAAAGAUGGCCUCUACUUGUAAGCUAUCGCUGAGGGAUGGGCCUGCGGGCCAUUAGCUUGUUGGUGAGGUAACGGCUCACCAAGGCUGUGAUGGCUAGCUGGUCUGAGAGGAUGACCAGCCACACUGGGACUGAGCACGGCCCAGACUCCUACGGGAGGCAGCAGUGGGGAAUAUUU